GGAGAAGUACUCAAGAGGCCAAAGAGGCGCCCCUGCUAAGGGUGUAGGCUGGGAAACUGGUGCGAGAGUUCGAAUCUCUCCUUCUCCG
Molecule: transfer RNA, 88 nt
Filed under: Clostridia bacterium
Lineage: Bacteria; Bacillati; Bacillota; Clostridia
Description: tRNA-Ser
Rfam family: tRNA
About the family: Transfer RNA (tRNA) molecules are approximately 80 nucleotides in length. Their secondary structure includes four short double-helical elements and three loops (D, anti-codon, and T loops). Further hydrogen bonds mediate the characteristic L-shaped molecular structure. tRNAs have two regions of fundamental functional importance: the anti-codon, which is responsible for specific mRNA codon recognition, and the 3' end, to which the tRNAs corresponding amino acid is attached (by aminoacyl-tRNA synthetases). tRNAs cope with the degeneracy of the genetic code in two manners: having more than one tRNA (with a specific anti-codon) for a particular amino acid; and 'wobble' base-pairing, i.e. permitting non-standard base-pairing at the 3rd anti-codon position.
Source: RNAcentral